RNAcentral lists this transfer RNA (64 nucleotides) under Nigidionus parryi. RNAcentral's name for it is "tRNA-Glu". The record is from RNAcentral. Lineage: Eukaryota; Metazoa; Arthropoda; Insecta; Coleoptera; Lucanidae.
AUUUAUAUAGUUUUAAAGAAAACAUUACACUUUCAUUGUAAAAUUGGAACUCAUCCUAUAAAUA